UACUAGCCUUCACUUGGCUUGCCCUCCUGGUGCAGAUUAGACCAAGAAGAUGAGUGGCAGUGGGCAGUUUACCAGCAAUCAUUACUGCUCACUGAAAAUACCCCCAACAACACAUCUCCCUCUGUCAACUGUGGUGUAGCAGGUCUGCUCAGUAACACUUACUGAAGGCAUCACUUUAACAGAAAUCUGUGUUGGAUCCCAUGACAAAGCCAUCCUUCAACUACAAACAAGCAAACAAACAAAUGACUCCAAAAUGCCUGGCCAUGUGAUUCCAUCUUGAGAGAACUGAUUUUCUACAUCUCAUCUGAAUGGAAGUACAAUUUCAACCUAGUUCCUCUUUCUUUAUUUGUGUCAGAAGCACCACAGUACAAUUAAGAAAUAGAUCAGAUAAUUUUCAUUCAACAACAGGCAACAUCAUUUGGGGCAGCUAACAUCAAACCUUCCACAGUGCAUAUCGAGGGGCAUAAGAACAUUGCCACAGCUGCGAACCAUCCUGUUCCUCUACACUUUUGUAAAGGACCACAUCAGUGAAAAAACUUGUUUUCUUAGGUUCAGUUUGGUUCUGUGAACUCCACUGCAUUGUCUACUGUCAAGCAAUCCAGUUUUUGGUGUGAC
Non-coding RNA from Pogona vitticeps (central bearded dragon), 615 nucleotides. Lineage: Eukaryota; Metazoa; Chordata; Lepidosauria; Squamata; Agamidae. The record is from RefSeq and is a predicted model, not a curated record.